AACGUACGCUGGCGGCAGGCCUAAAACAUGCAAGUCGAACGCCCCGCAAGGGGAGUGGCGCACGGGUGAGUAACGCGUGGGAACGUGCCCUUCACUACGGGACAACGUCGGGAAACUGACGCUAAUACCGUAUAAUGACUCCGGUCCAAAGAUUUAUCGGUGAAGGAGCGGCCCGCGUCUGAUUAGCUAGUUGGUGAGGUAAUGGCUCACCAAGGCUAAGAUCAGUAGCAGGUCUGAGAGGAUGAUCUGCCACACUGGGACUGAGACACGGCCCAGACUCCUACGGGAGGCAGCAGUUAGGAAUAUUGGACAAUGGGCGAAAGCCUGAUCCAGCCAUGCCGCGUGUGUGAUGAAGGCCCUAGGGUUGUAAAGCACUUUCGUUGAGGAAGAUAAUGACUGUACUCAAAGAAGAAGCACCGGCUAACUUCGUGCCAGCCGCCGCCGUAA
This 447-nucleotide ribosomal RNA is filed under the name uncultured bacterium. RNAcentral's name for it is "partial 16S ribosomal RNA". It matches the Rfam family "Bacterial small subunit ribosomal RNA", at positions 29 to 523 of the family's 1533-position model. The record is from RNAcentral.